RNAcentral lists this non-coding RNA (39 nucleotides) under Lingulaulax polyedra. The record is from RNAcentral. Lineage: Eukaryota; Dinophyceae; Gonyaulacales; Lingulodiniaceae.
CAGAGGUGGAAUGCAGCAGCCCCCAGCCAGGCCUCGUGG